GAACGCUGGCGGCAGGCCUAACACAUGCAAGUCGAGCGGCAGCACGGCAAUAGCAAUAUUGUGGGUGGCGAGCGGCGGACGGGUGAGGAAUGCAUCGGGAUCUACCCUGUCGUGGGGGACAACGUAGGGAAACUUACGCUAAUACCGCAUGAUCUGGAGACAGCAAAGCCGGGGACCUUCGGGCCUGGCGCGAUGGGAUGAGCCGAUGUCCGAUUAGCUAGUUGGCGGGGUAAAGGCCCACCAAGGCGACGAUCGGUAGCUGGUCUGAGAGGACGACCAGCCACACUGGAACUGAGACACGGUCCAGACUCCUACGGGAGGCAGCAGUGGGGAAUAUUGGACAAUGGGGGGCAACCCUGAUCCAGCCAUGCCGCGUGGGUGAAGAAGGCCUUCGGGUUGUAAAGCCCUUUUGUGCGGGAAGAAAAGUCGUCGGUGAACAUCCGGCGAUGCUGACGGUACCGUAAGAAUAAGCACCGGCUAACUACGUG
This 488-nucleotide ribosomal RNA is filed under the name uncultured bacterium. Its description in RNAcentral is "bacterial SSU rRNA". It matches the Rfam family "Bacterial small subunit ribosomal RNA", at positions 31 to 507 of the family's 1533-position model. The record is from RNAcentral.